GCGAGAAUAUUGGGCAAUGGGCGAAAGCCUGACCCAGCGACACCGCGUGCUCGAAGAAGCCCUUCGGGGUGUAAAGAGCUUUUAUGGAGGAAGAAUCCCACUUUUAGUGGGAUGACGGUACUCCAGGAAUAAGAGGAUGCUAAUCACGUGCCAGCAGCCGCGGUAAAACGUGAUCCUCGAGCGUUAUCCGGAUUUAUUGGGCGUAAAGCGUCUGUAGGCGGCAUAGUAAGUUUGGUGUUAAAGACCUCGGGCUUAACCUGGGGAAUGCAUCAAAAACUGCUAAGCUAGAGGGCAUUAGGGGCUGAUGGAAUGGUCGGUGUAGGG
This 324-nucleotide ribosomal RNA is filed under the name uncultured organism. RNAcentral's name for it is "bacterial SSU rRNA". It matches the Rfam family "Bacterial small subunit ribosomal RNA", at positions 355 to 680 of the family's 1533-position model. The record is from RNAcentral.